Molecule: ribosomal RNA, 481 nt
Filed under: Tomocerus maximus
Lineage: Eukaryota; Metazoa; Arthropoda; Collembola; Entomobryomorpha; Tomoceridae
Description: partial large subunit ribosomal RNA
Rfam family: Bacterial large subunit ribosomal RNA
Source: RNAcentral
ACAUUUCUUUUCGUUUUUGUUUAAAGUAAAGUCUGCCCACUGUAAUUAUAAAGGGCCGCGGUAUUUUGACCGUGCAAAGGUAGCAUAAUCAUUAGUCUUUUAAUUGGGGAAUGGUAUGAAUGGCUUAAUGAUUUUUUUCUUUUAUUUAUAUUAAAUUAAAAUUUUGAUUUUAAGUGAAAAUACUUAAAUUUAUUAAUAAGACGAUAAGACCCUAUAGAAUUUUAUUUUUAUUAUUUAUUUAUAUUUUUAUAAAAGUUUAAAUGGGGCAUUUUUUGAAUAAAAAUAAUUUCUAUAAAUUUUUAGAACAUAUCUUUAUUAUUAGACUAUAAAAAAAUUACCUUAGGGAUAACAGCGUAAUAGUUUUUGAGAGUUCAUAUCGACAGAAUAGUUUGCGACCUCGAUGUUGAAUUAAAAUACCUUUUUAAAGCAGCUUUUAGAUAAGGUAGUCUGUUCGACUAUAAAAAUUUUACAUGAUUUGAGU